UAAACUCCCUUAACUCGGUCCUCUCUCUAAAAAAAAACACAAGAACUCAACAGUCGAAAACCCAAGUAAGUUUAUUAUCCUCUCUUGUUAUGUUUCAUGUCUUUAGUUCUUGCCUUUUUGAUGUCACCAUCUUUGUCUAUGCAAAGGGGGUUUUGUCAGUUUAGAUUGUCUCUUUGAAUUUAGGAAGAUAGAAGGGAAAAGUUCAUAUUUUUUUUUGAAUUUGGGUUUAGAAGGAUUUAAGCUUUGGUGGUAAUUGAUUAUUGAGGUUUGUUGAAAUGGGCUCUAAUUUGGAGCCAAUUCCGAUAACAUCGCAAAAACAUGACCCGGCGUGGAAGCAUUGUCAAAUGUUUAAGAAUGGAGAGAGGGUGCAGUUAAAAUGUGUGUAUUGUGGCAAAAUUUUUAAAGGAGGAGGGAUUCAUAGGAUUAAGGAACAUUUAGCUGGUCAAAAGGGUAAUGCUGCUACUUGUUUACAAGUUCCUUCGGAUGUUAGGCUUAUGAUGCAACAAAGUUUAGAUGGGGUUGUAGUUAAGAAGCGGAAGAAGCAAAAAAUUGCAGAGGAGAUAACGAAUUUGAAUCCAGUUUCUAGUGAGUUAGGGGUUUUUGAUAAGGAUGUUAAUACUGGAAUGGAGUUAACUGGGGUUUCAGAUGCUAUUGACCCUGUUUCAAGUUUGUUAGUUAGUGGAGAAGAUGGACUGAGAAAAAAAGGCGGGGAGAGGAGGAAGAGGGGAAGGGGUAGAGGCAGAGGUUCUGUUACAAAUUCGAAAGCUGUUGUUACCAUGAGUAGUGUUAUGCCGUUAUCAGGGGGUAAAAGGACAAACGAUCACAUUCAUAUGGCAAUAGGGAGGUUUUUGUAUGACAUCGGGGCAUCUUUGGAUGCUGUGAACUCGGCUUAUUUUCAGCUAAUGGUUCAAGCAAUUGCUUCAGGAGGAUCAGAGGUUUUAGUGCCUUCAUACCACGAUCUUCGAGGUUGGGUACUGAAGAAUUCAGUUGAAGAAGUAAAGAAUGAUGUUGAUAAGCACAGAGCAACCUGGGAAAGGACUGGCUGUUCUGUUUUGGUUGAUCAGUGGAACACAGUAAUGGGUAGAACUCUGAUAAAUUUUUUGGUUUAUUGUCCUGAUGGAGUGGUGUUUUUGAAAUCCGUGGAUGCAUCUGAUAUUAUUAAUUUACCAGAUGCUCUUUACGAAUUGCUUAAGCAAGUAGUUGAAGAAAUUGGAGCAAGACAUGUUUUACAAGUCAUUACUCGAAUGGAAGAGCAAUUAAUCUGUGCAGGGAGAAGGUUAGCUGAUACUUUCCCUAACCUUUAUUGGGCUCCUUGUGCAGCACAUUGUCUAGAUUUGAUACUUGAGGAUUUUGCAAAACUUGAGUGGAUAAAUUCAGUAAUUGAACUGGCGAGGUCUAUGACAAGAUUUGUAUACAAUCAUAGUGUGGUUUUGAAUAUGAUGAAAAGGUAUACUUUUGGAAAUGAUAUUGUAGAACCAGGAAUUACUCGCUUUGCCACAAACUUUGGAACAUUGAAACGAAUGGUUGAUCUUAAACAUAACCUGCAGAACAUGGUUACUUCACAGGAGUGGGUGGACUGCCCAUAUUCAAAGAAACCUGGGGGGCUGGAAAUGUUAGAUUUGGUAAGCGAUCAGUCAUUUUGGUCAUCAUGCAUCCUAAUAACCCAUUUAACUAAUCCUCUCUUGCAAGUUCUGAGACUAGUUGGCAGCAAGAAGAGGCCAGCUAUGGGAUAUAUUUAUGCAGGAAUGUAUCGAGCUAAAGAAGCAAUUAAGAAAGAACUUAUAAAGAGGGAGGAGUAUAUUGUCUACUGGAAUAUUAUAGACCAUUGGUGGGAACAAGAAUGGAAUCUCCCUCUUCAUGCUGCGGGUUUCUACCUUAAUCCCAAGUUCUUUUAUAGUUUUGAAGGAGAUAUGCCCAAUGAGAUUCAGUCUGGGAUGUACGAUUGCAUAGAAAAGUUUGUUCCUGACUUAAAUGUCCAAGAUAAAAUCAUCAAAGAGGUAAACUCUUACAAGAAUGCUGGUGGUGAUUUUGGGAGGAAGAUGGCUGUUAGAGCUAGGGACACUAUGCUUCCUGCUGAAUGGUGGUCAACAUAUGGAGGAAGUUGCCCAAACUUGGUGCGUUUGGCCAUCCGUAUUCUCGGUCAAACCUGCAGUUCAAUUGAGUAUAAGCGAAGCCAGAUUCCUUUUGAACAAUUGCAUGAUACAAAAAAUUGCCUGGAGCGUCAACGACUCAGUGAUCUAGUUUUUGUUCAGUGCAACUUGCGACUCAGACAAAUGGUUGAUGAGAAUGAGGAACAGGAUCCUAUAUCAUUUGAUAGCAAUAAUACAUUGAAGGACUGGGUCGAGGGAAAAGAAUUGUGCUCGGAAGACUUUGAUGCAUUGAAUUGGAUGGCAGUUGAUCCACCUUCUGACAAUGCAAGGCUCCUGGGAACUUCACACAGUGAAAUCGAAGACUUAGGUCCAGGGUUUGAUGAUUAUGAGAUUUUUAAUAGAGUAAAAGAGGGCGAGGAGGAAAAUGUUGAAUCAAUGUAGCAGGUCAACAGAAAAGCAUCCAAGGUACACUGGUCUCACCUGGAGUAUUUAUGACAAUCACUGAGUUGCCUAUACUAGAGAGAUAUUGUGAUCAUCUAACUUGACUCUGUGAUUGAAGUAGACACAAUUACCAAUGGAUUAGGACUUCCAUGUGUGUAAAACCAAUUACCAGGAAGACUGGUCUUGACCAGGGUGAAAGAGAGAAAAAGAUACGAUUGGGAAUGGUUCUAUUAGUAAAUGCAGCCAGGUAGUUUUUAUGUCAGAGAAAAAUGCAUUUCAAUUGACAGAUGAAUGGAUGUGGUUUUAUACAUAAGCAUGCUCUUGUACAUUUAAUCCCUUCAACUAACAUUCAUGUCUUUUUAGUGCUAAUUUUUAUUCUGCCAAUUAAAGUCACUUGGCAUUGUAACCAAUUGACCAGGGAUCAAAUCCUUCUUACACAGUUACACUUGGGAUUGAACAGGAAAAGGGAGGUUGCCUCCUUUUAUGGAACCAAAGGUUCAAUUAGUCUUCUGAUGAACAAAUAAACAAAAAACUUUUCUGCAAAGGUAGGUGUUCAGUUGUGAAUAAUUUGUCUUUUUCUGCCAAGCAUUUCUAUUUUGGCAAUUGAGUUAUACCAUAUGAUGGGAUCAUUAUAGCCCUGAUUCAUGGUAUUGGUUGAUAAUGGACUUCUGUCUUCAAGAUGGAUUAGAGUAAACAAAAUGGGGAAGAGAAAAAAGUGUAUGAUAAAAGCACUAGUUAUUUAUUCAAUAUUUUCAGAGUCUUAUGUUUUAAAUCGAAUAUUACAUGUUCUGAUUCUUAAUCAUGGUUGAGAUUUGAUUUUAGUUGAGGUUCAGAUUGUAUAACAAAUUAAGAUGUGCUGAAUUUUUGGAGAGUAAGUGGGAACAUUUUUUUGUUAUUGUUAAUACUUCUUUCUUGCACGCAGUUGUAACCUUUGCAUUAUCAUUUAUGAACCCAUUACAAUUAAUAUUUGCAACCAUUGGAACAUAAAAGAGGUCAGCUGAAACAGAGAAUCCCUAAACUAUUGAAGAACUGGAGAGGGUUUGAGGCUGAACUUCCAAGAUUAAGGUAAAACAUUAUGCUACAACGUCCAGCCUUAAUUGUCUUCAACAUUUAAAGUUACAAGAUUUGUUCGAAGAAACAACGUUAGUGCUAGAUGAUUUAUUUUUUAUUUUCAUUCCAUAAGUGAUGAAGGGUUUUGACCAGGGUUUUGGUAUUUAUCAACCUUCGUUUAUUAUGGAAUUAAACCAACUCUGGUUUUAGGAAGGUUUUGAGGAAGAGUAGGAAGAAUGUGUGAAAACUACGAGGGUUUCUUUUGUGCUCCUUCGGAGGCUUGACAUUUUUGUUCAAAUAUGAUACAUCUCAAGAUGUAGACUUCUGUGAUUCACUCAGAGUAAAUGUGAUUCUGUGUAAAUAGUGGAUCUCUGCGAUGUCAUGUUGAAGAAUUUGAUGGAUGAUUGGCAUUUUUUAUGCUGAUUUUACACGUGCAGUUGAAGUAACUUCAACAGUCAAACUUCAACGCAGGGAAAAGACCCCACUAGAAUUUCUCCUUUUCUUCCUCUUUCUUUUUCGCUACACUUUGUUCAACCUAUUUGCUGUCAGAUAGUUGGUUCUUGUUUCACGUGUGGCACUACAAUUGACCUUGCUCUAGGAGAGCUUCAAUAGGAGCUCGCAAGACCAAAUCAAUGCAUCAGCUUCAACUUUCUUGGGUAAAUAAGCUGUGUCAAUGUGGCCAGCAUCUUUGACCGGUGAAAAAGCUUCAACAAUGCCUCAUUUACUUGCGAAUUGCACAGAGAAACAGAACAAGAGGAACUUUUAAUCAACAGCUAUUGAAGGUGACUUCCAUCCUUUCCUUGUUUAUUUGUCUUUCUAGUUUUGUAUCAGUUGCUAUUACAGUGUUUUUAGGGUAACUUUGACUUAGCGAUUUUCUUUUGUGGUUACAAUGUGAUUAAUUUAUACAUCUGAGAUAGUGCAUUAACGUAUUCACUGUGUCCCGUGUUGUAGAAGAAGGUUGAAUCCUAAACUUAUCUACCCUCUACAAUUUCUCGUGUGUUUGUGCUGUAGAACUCAUGUGAAGUCAAAGAACAAUGUCGUGUUAAACUCGAUUGAUCUGUAUGGAAGCAACAUGGUGCGUGCCAUUCACUAUCUUGCAAAAUCACGUUCAUUCAAUGUUCAGUACACUAAAUCAAAAAACCUUUGACAUUGUAGGAUGGUAAACUCAUUCACUCAAGUUUCCACGUCCUUUUUAGCAGCACAUCCUUAUCCCACUAUAAAAUGUCCUGUAACCAGUUGAUAGUUGAAGGAACUUUUUGCAUAUAAUAGUGAGAUUUUGCAAUAUUCUUAAGAAUAAACUGAACGACCCA
This is an RNA transcript of Populus euphratica (Euphrates poplar), 4891 nucleotides long. RefSeq lists it as uncharacterized. Lineage: Eukaryota; Viridiplantae; Streptophyta; Magnoliopsida; Malpighiales; Salicaceae. The transcript is spliced from 6 exons. The record is from RefSeq and is a predicted model, not a curated record.